CCAUACAGCCGCGCUAAUGAUUUAUUUCAAUGUUUAUUCAUCUCGAUUUUCGGAACCAGUAGCGCCAAAUUAAUUAAAAUUGAAAAGAUUAACAUUUACUAUUCCAACUCCUAAAAUAUUUCCGGUAGUGUAACAUCUUCGUGGAGCCCAUGUAGGAGAUAAUAAUAUAAUAAUAAUGACGUUAUGAUAUCCAAAAAUCAUUUUUUGUUCUUUUACGAAAUAUGAUAAAUAUUGAUAACAAUAAAGUCUAACAUAACAAAAAGCUGGCCUAAGGUAAUGGGGACGAGUACAGCCACUAUUAUAGGUAAUUUAAUGUAGACCUGUGAGCAACGAUAAACCAUUGCCUAGUGAGAAGGG
Non-coding RNA from Cinara cedri, 357 nucleotides. The record is from the annotation of a GenBank genome assembly. NCBI's taxonomy places the organism in Eukaryota, Metazoa, Arthropoda, Insecta, Hemiptera, Aphididae.